Molecule: unclassified non-coding RNA, 985 nt
Filed under: Hevea brasiliensis (rubber tree)
Lineage: Eukaryota; Viridiplantae; Streptophyta; Magnoliopsida; Malpighiales; Euphorbiaceae
Source: RNAcentral
AAAAAACUAUAAACUUUUUUCUCUUCACUCUUUUCUACUAUUUCUCUGUUCAUAGAUCUAAUGGCAACUAUCAAAUCCAUUAAAGCUCGUCAGAUCUUUGACAGCCGUGGUAACCCCACAGUCGAGGUUGAUGUACAUAUCUCAAAUGGUGUGUUUGCCAGAGCUGCUGUUCCAAGUGGUGCAUCCACCGGAAUUUACGAAGCCCUUGAAUUGAGGGAUGGAGGAUCUGACUACCUCGGAAAGGGUGUUUCGAAGGCUGUUAACAAUGUCAACUCAAUUAUUGGCCCUGCUCUUGUUGGCAAGGACCCAACUGAUCAGACUGGUCUUGAUAACUUCAUGGUUCAUCAGUUAGAUGGAACUCAAAAUGAGUGGGGUUGGUGCAAAGAAAAGCUUGGUGCAAAUGCCAUCCUUGCUGUGUCACUUGCUGUGUGUAAAGCUGGCGCUGCUGUCAGGAAUGUGCCAUUGUACAAGCACAUUGCUGAUUUGGCUGGUAACAAGAAGUUGGUAUUACCAGUUCCUGCCUUCAAUGUGAUUAAUGGUGGAUCUCAUGCCGGAAACAAACUCGCAAUGCAGGAAUUUAUGAUCCUUCCUGUUGGAGCUGCUAAUUUCAAGGAGGCCAUGAAGAUGGGCUGUGAAGUCUAUCACCAUUUGAAGGCUGUGAUUAAGAAGAAAUAUGGUCAGGAUGCCACAAAUGUCGGUGAUGAGGGUGGUUUUGCUCCUAAUAUCCAGGAGAACAAGGAAGGUCUUGAAUUGCUCAAGACAGCCAUUGAGAAAGCAGGUUACACUGGAAAGGUGGUCAUUGGAAUGGAUGUUGCAGCAUCUGAAUUUUACGGAAAGGACAAAUCUUAUGACCUGAACUUCAAAGAAGAGAGCAAUGACGGCUCACAAAAGAUAUCAGGUGACCAACUCAAGGACUUAUACAAGUCAUUUGUGUCCGAGUACCCUAUUGUUUCAAUUGAAGAUCCAUUUGACCAAGAUGACUGGG